ACGAACUGCGCGAACGUUAUUCGGAAUCAUUGGGCUUAAAGAGUUCGUAGGCGGCCUGAUAAGUUGGGUGUGAAAUCCCUCGGCUCAACCGAGGAACUGCGCUCAAUACUGUCAGGCUUGAGGGAGACAGAGGUGAGUGGAACUGAUGGUGGAGCGGUGAAAUGCGUUGAUAUCAUCAGGAACACCGGUGGCGAAAGCGGCUCACUGGGUCUCUUCUGACGCUGAGGAACGAAAGCUAGGGGAGCGAACGGG
This 252-nucleotide ribosomal RNA is filed under the name uncultured bacterium. Its description in RNAcentral is "partial 16S ribosomal RNA". It matches the Rfam family "Bacterial small subunit ribosomal RNA", at positions 525 to 776 of the family's 1533-position model. The record is from RNAcentral.